RNAcentral lists this non-coding RNA (23 nucleotides) under Mus musculus (house mouse). Lineage: Eukaryota; Metazoa; Chordata; Mammalia; Rodentia; Muridae. The record is from RNAcentral.
UGUAUGAAUGGUCACUCUCCUCC